GAUGAACGCUGGCGGCGUGCCUAAUACAUGCAAGUCGAGCGAACAGACGAGGAGCUUGCUCCUCUGACGUUAGCGGCGGACGGGUGAGUAACACGUGGAUAACCUACCUAUAAGACUGGGAUAACUUCGGGAAACCGGAGCUAAUACCGGAUAACAUGUUGAACCGCAUGGUUCAACAGUGAAAGACGGUCUUGCUGUCACUUAUAGAUGGAUCCGCGCCGCAUUAGCUAGUUGGUAAGGUAACGGCUUACCAAGGCAACGAUGCGUAGCCGACCUGAGAGGGUGAUCGGCCACACUGGAACUGAGACACGGUCCAGACUCCUACGGGAGGCAGCAGUAGGGAAUCUUCCGCAAUGGGCGGAAGCCUGACGGAGCAACGCCGCGUGAGUGAGGAAGGUCUUCGGAUCGUAAAACUCUGUUAUUAGGGAAGAACAAAUGUGUAAGUAACUAUGCACGUCUUGACGGUACCUAAUCAGAAAGCCACGGCUAACUACGUG
RNAcentral lists this ribosomal RNA (497 nucleotides) under uncultured bacterium. RNAcentral's name for it is "partial 16S ribosomal RNA". It matches the Rfam family "Bacterial small subunit ribosomal RNA", at positions 28 to 507 of the family's 1533-position model. The record is from RNAcentral.